This 576-nucleotide long non-coding RNA is filed under the name Homo sapiens (human). Its description in RNAcentral is "HSALNT0123870". The record is from RNAcentral. Lineage: Eukaryota; Metazoa; Chordata; Mammalia; Primates; Hominidae.
AAGACAACAGGGUAAAUAAAUUACACCAUAUUCAUGCAAGGGUAUACUUACAUAAUGAAUAAUAACUAAUAAAAACAAAAAAACAAACUACUGGUUUGUUUUUAUUAUUUAUUUGGUGGAUACAUUUCAAAAACAUUAUGUUAAAGGAAAGAAGCCAGGUAUGAAAGAGAACAUACUAUAUAAUUCUGUUUAUAUAUAUAUUUCAAGAAAAGGCAAAACUCAUCUUUACUGAUGGAAGGAGAAGUUAGAGUGGUUGCUUCCGUAGGGAUUAACUGGGAAGUGGCAUGAGGAACCUUAAGGAAUGGAAAUGUUUCAUCUUGAUCUAGGUGAUGGUUGGAUGGGUAUAUUCAUACUUAAAAAAACAACUGAACUGUACAGUUAAUAUUUGUACAUUUAUUGAAUAUUUCACCUCAAUUCUAAAACUAUAUAUAUAUAAAGGGCUAGGUGUCAUAUCUUUCCAUUAUACUUACAUAUACCUAAUAAUACCUAAUAUUAUACCUAAUAAUAGUAAUUAUAGUUGCUUACUGAUAACAACAACUAAUAACACUUAUUGAGGCCCUACUCUGUGCCAGGGAU